GCAGCAUUUUAUAGGAUCUUAAAAGAAGACAAGUUGUAAAGGAAAUGUUUUCAGCUUAGAGCCAUUAAUUAGAAGAUUUACAAUCAAUAUUAUUCAAAAGAAAUAGGAACCUCAGUUACACCUAAUUAAGAGCUGCAGCUCUGGUUUUGACAAGAGAUUAGAGCAUAAACGAAAGAAAAGUUACAUGACAUGCUGAACCCACAGGUAGACUAGCAACCACAACCACAACCUCAAU
RNAcentral lists this unclassified non-coding RNA (235 nucleotides) under Hevea brasiliensis (rubber tree). The record is from RNAcentral. Lineage: Eukaryota; Viridiplantae; Streptophyta; Magnoliopsida; Malpighiales; Euphorbiaceae.